CGGCGUGCUUAACACAUGCAAGUCGAGCGGGGAUAGAUACUGGAAGGUUUCGGCUGGAAGGUAUUUAUUCUAGCGGCGGACGGGUGAGUAACGCGUGAACAAUCUGUCCCAGACAGGGGGAUAACAGAUGGAAACAUUUGCUAAUACCGCAUAAGACCACGAGGUCGCAUGGCCAUGGGGUAAAAGGAGGAAUCCGGUUUGGGGUGAGUUCGCGUCCGAUUAGCUAGUUGGUGAGGUAACGGCCCACCAAGGCGACGAUCGGUAGCCGACCUGAGAGGGUGAUCGGCCACAUUGGAACUGAGACACGGUCCAAACUCCUACGGGAGGCAGCAGUGGGGAAUAUUGGGCAAUGGGCGGAAGCCUGACCCAGCAACGCCGCGUGAGUGAAGAAGGUUUUCGGAUUGUAAAGCUCUGUCCUUGGUGACGAAGGAAGUGACGGUAGCCAAGGAGGAAGCCCCGGCUAACUACGUGCCAGCAGCCGCGGUAAUACGUAGGGGGCAAGCGUUGUCCGGAAUGACUGGGCGUAAAGGGCGUGUAGGCGGCCGAUUAAGUCUGGAGUGAAAGUCCACUUUUCAAGGGUGGAAUUGCUUUGGAUACUGGUUGGCUUGAGUGCGGAAGAGGUAAGUGGAAUUCCCAGUGUAGCGGUGAAAUGCGUAGAGAUUGGGAGGAACACCAGUGGCGAAGGCGACUUACUGGGCCGUAACUGACGCUGAGGCGCGAAAGCGUGGGGAGCGAACAGGAUUAGAUACCCUGGUAGUCCACGCGGUAAACGAUGAAUGCUAGGUGUUGCGGGUAUCGACCCCUGCAGUGCCGGAGUAAACACAAUAAGCAUUCCGCCUGGGGAGUACGGCCGCAAGGUUGAAACUCAAAGGAAUUGACGGGGGCCCGCACAAGCAGUGGAUUAUGUGGUUUAAUUCGACGCAACGCGAAGAACCUUACCAGGGUUUGACAUCCAACUAACGAAGUAGAGAUACAUUAGGUGCCCUUCGGGGAAAGUUGAGACAGGUGGUGCAUGGUUGUCGUCAGCUCGUGUCGUGAGAUGUUGGGUUAAGUCCCGCAACGAGCGCAACCCCUAUUGUUAGUUGCUACGCAAGAGCACUCUAGCGAGACUGCCGUUGACAAAACGGAGGAAGGCGGGGACGUCGUCAAAUCAUCAUGCCCCUUAUAUCCUGGGCUACACACGUAAUACAAUGGUGGUAAACAGAGGGAAGCAAUAGAGCGAUCUGGAGCAAAUCCCUAAAAGCCAUCUCAGUUCGGAUUGCAGGCUGCAACUCGCCUGCAUGAAGCUGGAAUUGCUAGUAAUCGCGAAUCAGCAUGCCGCGGUGAAUACGUUCCCGGGCCUUG
RNAcentral lists this ribosomal RNA (1344 nucleotides) under uncultured bacterium. RNAcentral's name for it is "bacterial SSU rRNA". It matches the Rfam family "Bacterial small subunit ribosomal RNA", at positions 40 to 1383 of the family's 1533-position model. The record is from RNAcentral.